CCUCACUCAGCACUUUGUGAAGCUCAAGUUCAAAGUCCUGAAUUAAAGAACUGAUAAUGAUUCUGACCCAAGGAGGAUACAAAGCUUUAAUUACGGUGCUUGUAAAAUGAUCCUGAUAGAUGUGUGCUUUGUUGUAUUUUUUUUUUUCCGGGUUCCAGUUGCUUUCUUGUGCCAUUUAUAAAAGUGCUUUGAAAGUUGCAGAAAGGAGGCCUGAGUGGGCAGCCUGGCAGAGGGAAGGAGAGGAUGCCUAUGGAUCAGGCUGUUGAGCAAAGAACCCAUGACUCUGGUUAGAGCAGAAUGUCUGGUGGCCUAAGUCAUAACAAAAAUAACUAGCCCUUGUCCAUCAUGUCCAGGCCCUGACCACCAGGCUCAUAGAUCCUUUUAAUUUGAACUCAGGGCCUCACACACUGGGGUAUCACUCUCCCACUGAGCUACAUCCUCAGCCCUUUCUAUCUUUUUAUUUUGAGACAGGUUCUCACUAAGUCACCCGGGUUGGCCUUGAAACUGUGAUCCUCCUGCCUCAGCCUUUCAAGUAGCUGGAAUUACAGGUGUGGGCCACCAUGCCUAGCUCACAGAUUAUUUUAUGGACUCUUCACAACAAUGCCACAAGGUCAGUGGUAUGAUUACAUCCACAUUUUAUUGAUAAAGGAAAGAAAUGAAGGCUUAGUGAUUUUCCCAGGUCAACUUGAAAGGAAAUAGCAGAUGAGCAAUUUCAACACAGGCCUCCUGACUCCAGGCCCUGAACCCUUGCCCAUGAUACUGGUCUGCCUUGUGUAGACUGUUGUGGGUCCCCAAGGCUGGAGCAGAGCAAACAGGUAUCUCUCUGUAUCUCCCGUCCAGAGACCUGAGAGAUGCAUGUGCUGGGUAAGUGUGGGCCUACAGUGUCGUCUAUAAGGCCUGAUGAAAGAUCUGGUCCAGAUCCUGUGACUCCAAACUCUAGACGAUAGGCAGAGGAAUAUUAUUCAGCAAUAAACAGGAAGACACAGGACAAUGAGCUACAUGUCACAGGCACAGUGCUGGACAAGAGAGCCAGGCAUAGCAGACCACACAGAGCAUGGCGACCAAGGCAGGAGGCUCCUCUGGGGAACCUCUCAGGGUGACAGAACAGGCCAGCAUCUUGAACUGAGUGGUGAGUUACCCAGCGGACUGAUACAAAAACAUUCAUCAUGCCCUGUGCUUCAGUUAUGUGUCCUUUGUCAUAUCUUAUUUCUAUCUCAGUUACAUUAAAAAGAUGUGAAGAACCAGGCACGGCGGUGCAUGUCUGUAAUCCCAGCCACUCGGGAGGCUGAGACAGGAGGAUCGAGAGUUCAAAGCCCACUUCAGCAACUUAGGGAGGCCCUAAGCAAUUCAACAGAGACCCUGUAUCUAAAUAAAAAAUGCAAAAUAGGCUGGGGAUGUGGCUCAGUGGUUGAGUGCCCCUGAGUUCAAUCCCCAGUACCAAAAAAAAAAAAAAAGGGAAGAAACUGGAGAAGAUUCAGUAAAGAGUGAAUCUUAGGAUAGACAAGCUAGAUUGAGAUCUGUUUCAAGAAGAAAGUCUGUUUGGGAAUGUGCAGUGGAGGUGGUGAUAAUCCCAUCAAGUUGUUUUUCUUUUUGUGUGUGUGUGUGUGUGUGUGUUGUAAUGAGGAAAAAAAAGUGUGUCACAUUAGAUUGGAUAGAGAGAAAGGAUGGG
RNAcentral lists this long non-coding RNA (1669 nucleotides) under Marmota monax (woodchuck). The record is from RNAcentral. Lineage: Eukaryota; Metazoa; Chordata; Mammalia; Rodentia; Sciuridae.